CCUAUACUACAACGGCACGGCGAAUACACAAUAACCGUCGAGUGACAAUAUCUCCGAGCAGAUAUUUAUGAUUUUGACGGUAUUUCGCGGAUCCAGGGCUUUCCAUCUAUUCGACCACUGGUAAAUGGAAAUGCCGAGAUCGACUGUCUAUAACCAUCAGUGAUCCAGCUGGGUACUUGCAUAAUUUAGACUGCACUAGCCUGAUUACUCAGGAUUGGUGAUACUGUAUAUUUGGUGGGCUGUCGCGCAAAGCUGCCGGAGACAAGACGCACACCCGAGACACAGGGCAAGCAUGGUUGCAGUCAGGACAUCAUAUACGGGUCUGAAAGAAGUGAUCACCCAUCAUAAGUAUAAGGUUGAAGCGGUUUGCAUCAGACAGCAGACCUUUUCUUCUUGCCAAAAAUACAAAAGUUACUCAGUUGGUGGAGAAAAAAUACAAGGGAAAUAGAUGAGAAAGGGGUGAGGCUGGUUAAGAAGACGAGGAUACAGUGGCAAGGAUCUCGCACUAAUCCGGAAGCGGAAAUCCCUAUCUUCCAGAAGCAACCUAGGUAAGUUAACAUAUUUUAGCGUUCUUGUUUUCUGCUGACGGGGUGAUUACAUUGCAGACCUGAUUAUUGGCUAAGCAAUACCCCAUUAUGCAUGGGUGAGUUGGAGGCGCUAAUCGGACUACGGGUACAGACACGCUGGCUCCCGCCCUCUCCAGCGAAGGAAGUAUAUAAUUUUUCAAGAUUUUCAUGCAUGAAGUGAUAGAUUCUUUCAUUCACCGUCAUAUUACAAUAUGUCAAUAUUCAUCAAAGUAUCUGUGCUAAGACACAAUAUAGCUAGAGAGAUAAAGAAUUCUAAUAUGGUAAUUCUGUGUUGAUUGAAAUGGCUAAACCCAUUGAAAUCAGCAUACUGUACAUAUUGUCUGCUCUGCGAGAAUGUAUUCGCAUGAGGAACUUUUCACAAGUGUAAAACUAUUUAAUCUUUUCAAGA
This 975-nucleotide small RNA is filed under the name Histoplasma capsulatum. RNAcentral describes it as "hypothetical RNA". The record is from RNAcentral. Lineage: Eukaryota; Fungi; Ascomycota; Eurotiomycetes; Onygenales; Ajellomycetaceae. RNAcentral also lists the same sequence under 1 other name.